UUUCCGAUAACUAAUAUAAUUGA
This 23-nucleotide small nuclear RNA is filed under the name Arabidopsis thaliana (thale cress). RNAcentral's name for it is "snRNA_15597". Lineage: Eukaryota; Viridiplantae; Streptophyta; Magnoliopsida; Brassicales; Brassicaceae. The record is from RNAcentral.